GAGGAUUUAGCUUAAAAAAAGUGGUUGAUUUGCAUUCAAUUGAUAUAGGAAAUAUAAUCUUGUAAUCCUUA
Molecule: transfer RNA, 71 nt
Filed under: Erinaceus europaeus (western European hedgehog)
Lineage: Eukaryota; Metazoa; Chordata; Mammalia; Eulipotyphla; Erinaceidae
Description: tRNA (ENSEEUG00000023928.1)
Rfam family: tRNA
About the family: Transfer RNA (tRNA) molecules are approximately 80 nucleotides in length.
Source: Rfam by way of RNAcentral